Long non-coding RNA from Rosa rugosa (rugosa rose), 425 nucleotides. RefSeq lists it as uncharacterized. Lineage: Eukaryota; Viridiplantae; Streptophyta; Magnoliopsida; Rosales; Rosaceae. The transcript is spliced from 3 exons. The record is from RefSeq and is a predicted model, not a curated record.
UUAGAUUACGAGAAUCUUUCCAUAACAUUUUCUGGAGCAAACUUUGAUUGGAUUGGAAAGUGUCCUACUCAACCUGGAAAAGUGGAAUGUGGAUAUUAUGUAAUGAAGUUCAUGAAAGCAAUCAUUGAGGAUCCAACCAUAUUAACAAGAAGCAAGUUCAACAACCAAAGUUACAAUCAAGAAGAGAUAGAUGAUGUUCGAGUAGAGUGGGCUGACCUUGUUGAAACAUUACUCCAAGAUGAUGUAGAAUAGUUUGGUUGGUAUAUUUUGCAAAGUACAUAUUAAGUUGAGUUUUUGUUUUUGUAAGCACUAGAAGUACAUGUAAUCUAAUCUCACCAAGACUUGCGGUUGGCAAUGUGUAUUUUGGAUGCCACGAGUCUUGGGAUAAUUUGUACACAUUGCUUGGAAUCUCCAUGACAAAAAUA